AGCGUCCGGCGCGCAGAGUUGCCAUGGAAACGGCGCGGGACCACUGCUACUGGUAAGCAACAAAACUCCCUCUCUCGAUGUUGUUUCAACUUUUCACGGCUUUUUCCAGAUCCUUCAGUGCUGAUGCCCUGCAACAUAGCGGAGUGGAGCUGAUCUUCAUCUCUAAAGCACUAUUGAUGAACCAUAUGAUUAAACAAGUCUGUGACUGACUUAAUGAACCCAGUUGCUUUGGAUCAUGCUCAAAGAUGUAAGGGUUACAAAAAGUUAACCAGAACUCUUAUGGACUCCAUCUUCUCUUUCGAAGAGAUGGCAGCAUGAACGGAAAAAAAGGGGUUGUUGGUGAAAAAAGAGCCUUGACCUACAAAAGGUGCAGCUAAUAAUUGACCAUGUCAAAAAGAGGCACCCAGGCAUCGGAGGCACUGAGAUCAAGGUCUGCAUGGCACAAAAGUUAAAAGAUCUGAGGAGACGAGCAGAAAGGAUGCCUGCUGCAGGAGACACAAAGGACUGAGACAACACACUUUCACAAACGCACACCACACACACACACACACACAUGCGCGUAUA
This is a long non-coding RNA of Rhinichthys klamathensis goyatoka, 564 nucleotides long. RefSeq lists it as uncharacterized. The record is from RefSeq and is a predicted model, not a curated record. Lineage: Eukaryota; Metazoa; Chordata; Actinopteri; Cypriniformes; Leuciscidae. The transcript has 5 exons.